RNAcentral lists this ribosomal RNA (1401 nucleotides) under Staphylococcus aureus M39274. RNAcentral describes it as "bacterial SSU rRNA". It matches the Rfam family "Bacterial small subunit ribosomal RNA". The record is from RNAcentral. Lineage: Bacteria; Bacillati; Bacillota; Bacilli; Caryophanales; Staphylococcaceae.
GAUAACUUCGGGAAACCGGAGCUAAUACCGGAUAAUAUUUUGAACCGCAUGGUUCAAAAGUAAAAGACGGUCUUGCUGUCACUUAUAGAUGGAUCCGCGCUGCAUUAGCUAGUUGGUAAGGUAACGGCUUACCAAGGCAACGAUGCAUAGCCGACCUGAGAGGGUGAUCGGCCACACUGGAACUGAGACACGGUCCAGACUCCUACGGGAGGCAGCAGUAGGGAAUCUUCCGCAAUGGGCGAAAGCCUGACGGAGCAACGCCGCGUGAGUGAUGAAGGUCUUCGGAUCGUAAAACUCUGUUAUUAGGGAAGAACAUAUGUGUAAGUAACUGUGCACAUCUUGACGGUACCUAAUCAGAAAGCCACGGCUAACUACGUGCCAGCAGCCGCGGUAAUACGUAGGUGGCAAGCGUUAUCCGGAAUUAUUGGGCGUAAAGCGCGCGUAGGCGGUUUUUUAAGUCUGAUGUGAAAGCCCACGGCUCAACCGUGGAGGGUCAUUGGAAACUGGAAAACUUGAGUGCAGAAGAGGAAAGUGGAAUUCCAUGUGUAGCGGUGAAAUGCGCAGAGAUAUGGAGGAACACCAGUGGCGAAGGCGACUUUCUGGUCUGUAACUGACGCUGAUGUGCGAAAGCGUGGGGAUCAAACAGGAUUAGAUACCCUGGUAGUCCACGCCGUAAACGAUGAGUGCUAAGUGUUAGGGGGUUUCCGCCCCUUAGUGCUGCAGCUAACGCAUUAAGCACUCCGCCUGGGGAGUACGACCGCAAGGUUGAAACUCAAAGGAAUUGACGGGGACCCGCACAAGCGGUGGAGCAUGUGGUUUAAUUCGAAGCAACGCGAAGAACCUUACCAAAUCUUGACAUCCUUUGACAACUCUAGAGAUAGAGCCUUCCUCUUCGGGGGACAAAGUGACAGGUGGUGCAUGGUUGUCGUCAGCUCGUGUCGUGAGAUGUUGGGUUAAGUCCCGCAACGAGCGCAACCCUUAAGCUUAGUUGCCAUCAUUAAGUUGGGCACUCUAAGUUGACUGCCGGUGACAAACCGGAGGAAGGUGGGGAUGACGUCAAAUCAUCAUGCCCCUUAUGAUUUGGGCUACACACGUGCUACAAUGGACAAUACAAAGGGCAGCGAAACCGCGAGGUCAAGCAAAUCCCAUAAAGUUGUUCUCAGUUCGGAUUGUAGUCUGCAACUCGACUACAUGAAGCUGGAAUCGCUAGUAAUCGUAGAUCAGCAUGCUACGGUGAAUACGUUCCCGGGUCUUGUACACACCGCCCGUCACACCACGAGAGUUUGUAACACCCGAAGCCGGUGGAGUAACCUUUUAGGAGCUAGCCGUCGAAGGUGGGACAAAUGAUUGGGGUGAAGUCGUAACAAGGUAGCCGUAUCGGAAGGUGCGGCUGGAUCACCU